This 387-nucleotide ribosomal RNA is filed under the name uncultured bacterium. RNAcentral describes it as "bacterial SSU rRNA". It matches the Rfam family "Bacterial small subunit ribosomal RNA", at positions 28 to 416 of the family's 1533-position model. The record is from RNAcentral.
GACGAACGCUGGCGGCGUGCUUAACACAUGCAAGUCGAGCGGUAAGGCCCUUUCGGGGGUACACGAGCGGCGAACGGGUGAGUAACACGUGGGUGACCUGCCUUUAGCUCUGGGAUAAGCCUGGGAAACUGGGUCUAAUACCGGAUAUGACUCCAUGAUGCAUGUUGUGGGGUGGAAAGCCUUGUGCGGCUGGAGAUGGGCCCGCGGCCUAUCAGCUUGUUGGUGGGGUGANGGCCUACCAAGGCGACGACGGGUAGCCGGCCUGAGAGGGCGACCGGCCACACUGGGACUGAGACACGGCCCAGACUCCUACGGGAGGCAGCAGUGGGGAAUCUUGCGCAAUGGGCGAAAGCCUGACGCAGCGACGCCGCGUGAGGGAUGACGGCC